UACGUAGGGGGCGAGCGUUAUCCGGAAUUAUUGGGCGUAAAGGGUUCGCAGGCGGCCUUGUAAGUCAGAUGUGAAAGACAGCGGCUUAACCGUUGUAAGCAUUUGAAACUGCGGGGCUUGAGUACAGGAGAGGAAAGCGGAAUUCCUAGUGUAGCGGUGAAAUGCGUAGAUAUUAGGAGGAACACCAGUGGCGAAGGCGGCUUUCUGGACUGAUACUGACGCUGAGGAACGAAAGCGUGGGGAGCAAACAGGAUUAGAUACCCGGGUAGUCCCUGAGCGGG
This 281-nucleotide ribosomal RNA is filed under the name uncultured prokaryote. RNAcentral's name for it is "partial 16S ribosomal RNA". It matches the Rfam family "Bacterial small subunit ribosomal RNA", at positions 524 to 803 of the family's 1533-position model. The record is from RNAcentral.